UCUUCCAUAGCUCAGUGGUUAGAGCAUCCAACCGGUACCCUGGAAGGUCAUUGGUUCGACUCCCGUUGGGGGAC
RNAcentral lists this transfer RNA (74 nucleotides) under Desmophyllum pertusum. RNAcentral describes it as "Lophelia pertusa tRNA". It matches the Rfam family "tRNA". From Rfam's summary of the family: Transfer RNA (tRNA) molecules are approximately 80 nucleotides in length. Their secondary structure includes four short double-helical elements and three loops (D, anti-codon, and T loops). The record is from Rfam by way of RNAcentral. Lineage: Eukaryota; Metazoa; Cnidaria; Anthozoa; Scleractinia; Caryophylliidae.